RNAcentral lists this ribosomal RNA (1278 nucleotides) under Staphylococcus aureus. RNAcentral describes it as "partial 23S ribosomal RNA". It matches the Rfam family "Bacterial large subunit ribosomal RNA", at positions 1 to 1280 of the family's 2925-position model. Lineage: Bacteria; Bacillati; Bacillota; Bacilli; Caryophanales; Staphylococcaceae. The record is from RNAcentral.
GAUUAAGUUAUUAAGGGCGCACGGUGGAUGCCUUGGCACUAGAAGCCGAUGAAGGACGUUACUAACGACGAUAUGCUUUGGGGAGCUGUAAGUAAGCUUUGAUCCAGAGAUUUCCGAAUGGGGAAACCCAGCAUGAGUUAUGUCAUGUUAUCGAUAUGUGAAUACAUAGCAUAUCAGAAGGCACACCCGGAGAACUGAAACAUCUUAGUACCCGGAGGAAGAGAAAGAAAAUUCGAUUCCCUUAGUAGCGGCGAGCGAAACGGGAAGAGCCCAAACCAACAAGCUUGCUUGUUGGGGUUGUAGGACACUCUAUACGGAGUUACAAAGGACGACAUUAGACGAAUCAUCUGGAAAGAUGAAUCAAAGAAGGUAAUAAUCCUGUAGUCGAAAAUGUUGUCUCUCUUGAGUGGAUCCUGAGUACGACGGAGCACGUGAAAUUCCGUCGGAAUCUGGGAGGACCAUCUCCUAAGGCUAAAUACUCUCUAGUGACCGAUAGUGAACCAGUACCGUGAGGGAAAGGUGAAAAGCACCCCGGAAGGGGAGUGAAAUAGAACCUGAAACCGUGUGCUUACAAGUAGUCAGAGCCCGUUAAUGGGUGAUGGCGUGCCUUUUGUAGAAUGAACCGGCGAGUUACGAUUUGAUGCAAGGUUAAGCAGUAAAUGUGGAGCCGUAGCGAAAGCGAGUCUGAAUAGGGCGUUUAGUAUUUGGUCGUAGACCCGAAACCAGGUGAUCUACCCUUGGUCAGGUUGAAGUUCAGGUAACACUGAAUGGAGGACCGAACCGACUUACGUUGAAAAGUGAGCGGAUGAACUGAGGGUAGCGGAGAAAUUCCAAUCGAACCUGGAGAUAGCUGGUUCUCUCCGAAAUAGCUUUAGGGCUAGCCUCAAGUGAUGAUUAUUGGAGGUAGAGCACUGUUUGGACGAGGGGCCCCUCUCGGGUUACCGAAUUCAGACAAACUCCGAAUGCCAAUUAAUUUAACUUGGGAGUCAGAACAUGGGUGAUAAGGUCCGUGUUCGAAAGGGAAACAGCCCAGACCACCAGCUAAGGUCCCAAAAUAUAUGUUAAGUGGAAAAGGAUGUGGCGUUGCCCAGACAACUAGGAUGUUGGCUUAGAAGCAGCCAUCAUUUAAAGAGUGCGUAAUAGCUCACUAGUCGAGUGACACUGCGCCGAAAAUGUACCGGGGCUAAACAUAUUACCGAAGCUGUGGAUUGUCCUUUGGACAAUGGUAGGAGAGCGUUCUAAGGGCGUUGAAGCAUGAUCGUAAGGACAUGUGGAGCG